GAGUUCACUGGUGGUGUAGAUUUGAAAAAAGAAGAUAGUCUUAUAGCCUUUCCUCAGGAGAGCGAUCUACUCACAAUUUUUUCAGAGAAAUUUCUUUGAGUCUGUAAGUUCUCCACUUACGAAAUAUAUUAUGGCUGAAGGUCGAAGGAAGAAGACAUUAAACCUUUGCCCACUUAUGGCAAUUACUCUGGAGACAACCACUGCUUGGAAAACAAGUAUUAUGAGCUACCUGUGACAACAUUUUUGGAGCCUCAUUCUGAAUAGUUUCACAGGGGCCAAAGAUGCUUCCUUUCCCAGUUCACUGGCUAGUUUGUCUGUUUUUCAACGAUACAAUUUGUUAGUAUCUGAACAAGGAAAUCGCCGCUAUUUACAUGGAAAGAAUCAUAGAGAUGACAGGGUUCCCCCCCAAAGCACUCACUGUGUAAUUGCUGAAGACAUUCCAAGCCACUCUAACGAAGUGUACUGUCUGCCAGUCAUUAUGCUCUUCUUGGAAGACCAUCUGUUGCACUUCAAAUAUGUAAAGGAAUACUUGGAUUCCAGUAACUUGAGCUACUUGUUUACAGAAAAACACACAUUGUGUAAGUAUUCUGCUGUACCUUUUACACUUGACAUAUUUAUACACAUGCUUGUAGCAUUAUGUAUAGUGCACGUUUUGGUAACUUUGCAGCGACUUGAUCGUAUUGUUAAAGCUUGAUAGACAUUUCUUUACAGUGACGAUAUUUUUAAUCUUUUUUAAAAUGGUUUGGUAGUAGUGACUAAUGCCGACUAGGUGGCUCUGGGCAUCUAGCCAUUUUUAGGUAGUUUAAUUUGUUAAAAAUUAUCUUUCUUCCCACCCAAAUCCCCUUGAAACCAUUUGGAGAAGAGAACUGUCGAACAGUUGCCAAUAAUAAGUCCUGCUGAGACCUCUAUACUCUCCUGAUAGAACUGCCUGUGCCAACUGGAGACUGACUGGCAUGAAUUUGAACUCUAUACUACUUGAUAUAUUUGCUUCACAUGAACCAAUUACAAUAAUUACCACCUUUGUAGCUGAAGUUUAAGCAUUCAGUCUGCACUUCAUACCUCAGGUUGCUGGCAAUAUGUUCAAUCCUAUAAUCUCAAUUUUUGUUGAGCUAAUAAAGUAGAAAAUAAAUACUUUGAAAAAUUAAGA
RNAcentral lists this long non-coding RNA (1147 nucleotides) under Dromaius novaehollandiae (emu). RNAcentral describes it as "lncRNA (ENSDNVG00000017626.1)". Lineage: Eukaryota; Metazoa; Chordata; Aves; Casuariiformes; Dromaiidae. The record is from RNAcentral.